UUUGUACUCCCUCAGUCCGAAAAUACUUGUCAUUAAAAUUGAUGUAUCUAAAUGUAUUUUAGUUCUAGAUAUAUUUAUUUUCAUCCAUUUUGAUGACAAGUAUUUUCGGACGGAGGGAGUAUCAA
Non-coding RNA from Triticum urartu, 125 nucleotides. The record is from Rfam. Lineage: Eukaryota; Viridiplantae; Streptophyta; Magnoliopsida; Poales; Poaceae.